This 177-nucleotide ribosomal RNA is filed under the name Triticum aestivum (bread wheat). Its description in RNAcentral is "partial small subunit ribosomal RNA". Lineage: Eukaryota; Viridiplantae; Streptophyta; Magnoliopsida; Poales; Poaceae. The record is from RNAcentral.
AUGGGAACCAUUGUCCUAAAGUCAACAGGAUCAUCAAUGUUCUCUGUGCCGCAAAGCCCGAUAGGUGUGUUGGAUGUUGAUGCAUGUCUCAGCCAACAGAGUGAUGAAGUUGUUGGAUCUCCAGCAACAUGCUACCACACCUCUUCGACAAGCAAAAGGCUGAGAAUUGGCAGAUGA